Molecule: non-coding RNA, 176 nt
Filed under: Clostridium sp.
Lineage: Bacteria; Bacillati; Bacillota; Clostridia; Eubacteriales; Clostridiaceae
Description: T-box sequence
Rfam family: T-box leader
About the family: Uncharged tRNA acts as the effector for transcription antitermination of genes in the T-box leader family.
Source: RNAcentral
UAUUUUGCAAUGAAAAGAAGUAGUAAUAAGCAAUUUAUUUAAAGAGAGUUAGUGUUAGGUGAAAACUAAUAAUAAUAGCUUAUGAAUUAGACUUGGAGCAAAAACGUUAAUCGCGUUAAGAUAUAAGUGCAUAGAAUCUAUGAACUAAGGUGGUACCGUUCUUAUGAACCCUUAGA